GGGGUCUAAUUGGGUUAGAUCAUGUUUGCAAAAUACACAUGCUAGCAUAUGUUGCAAAUCCUAGCUCCUUGUUUCGAAUCGGGUUCAAAAUUGAUUCUAAUUUAGGCUGAUUAAAUCUAAAUUAAUUCAAACUAAUUUUAGGUUUGAGUUAGGUCAACCCAUGGCUGGUUGAACCAGAGAUGUGGUGCCAUAUAACUAGGUCCCCAGAGAUUUUUUUUCUUGCGUGUGGGCUGUGUUUUGUGCGCAAAAGACCAAAUGGCAUCCCAUGAGAUGGGAUGCCCCUUCCUCAUCCUUAUCCAUUGUUUCCAUGCUAAAAAAAUUCUUGAAGAAUCAUGAGUUAAUUUUAGGCACAGAGGAGUCCUUCUGUGGUUAAAACAUUUCAUGGUUUAAUCAUAAAAAUUGGUUAAAAUUUGAAACCUAGCCAAAUCUAUCCAUACACGUAACCAAGAGUCCAUGAUGUUAAGGAAUCUUAGCUAAUCGUCAUGCCUCAUCUAAUCUCAGAUUUUUUUUUACACACCAUCUCCAAGUUAGUGCCUCAAUUAUGGACUCUUGGAUGGCCAAAAUGUGCUAAUGUGUGGUGGAGAAAAAAUAUG
Molecule: long non-coding RNA, 593 nt
Filed under: Elaeis guineensis (African oil palm)
Lineage: Eukaryota; Viridiplantae; Streptophyta; Magnoliopsida; Arecales; Arecaceae
Description: long non-coding RNA (EGUI_LNC060468)
Source: RNAcentral